Molecule: long non-coding RNA, 1840 nt
Organism: Hylaeus volcanicus
Lineage: Eukaryota; Metazoa; Arthropoda; Insecta; Hymenoptera; Colletidae
Exons: 2
Source: RefSeq, a predicted model, not a curated record
AUGAUCUAAAACAGUUUGCAAAACGUAGACAAGCAAUAUGUGUAUCUUAAGGCACGAAUAUGUCGUUCCUAUUCAUCGUUUAUCAUUUAUAAUAAGGAAAGUUUAUACAACAGAGGAAGGAGAGCUGUUUGUACAGUCAAGAUUAUUUUACGACAAGUGGACAUGAACGCAGUCUUCUCAUUCGUCAUCUAUCAUUGAAAAAUAGAUUUCUGUCCAUCGUUAGACCACAUAUUCCACGCACGUUCUAUUCUCGCAUACAGUUUCCAUAUUUCUUUCCUCGACUCGACAGACAACGGACACUAUUUGUCGCCAGAAACACGAUCGAAACAGAUCGUUUGACUUCCAGUGCUCCAAGCAGGUAACUUGCUCUCUGUCGUGUAUCAUCGUCGUGGAAGAGAAAUUCACGGUAGAAACCAUCGGGGAUCGCGAAAGGCGACGGUCGUUAAUUUGUCUGCGAGUCGUUUCUAACGAAGUGUGUAAAAAGUGAAGGGCGUGCGUUUUCUCGCGAGCCCACGCGCGAGUAUAUAUCGCGUCGCCCCACGUAAUUCGUUCCUAAUCAAUUAGAACGGGAUCCCGGCGUUGAUUGGCUUGGUCUCCUUGUAGGAGUGAAGGCGAUAAAUCUGUCACGAUAAAUUGCGACGGCUGCCCUAGCCGUGGGUCAAGUAGUCACGAUUCAAACUGUGCCGGUGAACGAUCGGGCGAAAAUAAAACAGAUGUGUUACAAUAGAGAGGGAACGGCUCUUGACACCCUGGCGGGUGGACCUUUUGUAGUAUUGGUCAAUUUCGAGCGUAGUUUUCUUCGAUCCCCGCUGGACCAUUUUAAUUGUAUCUGUUUAGGUUGGUAUCCUUAAGCAUCAUAAUGUUUCUGCUUCCUAUACGUCACGGUAGUCCGAUGUUCAUUCUUCACUUUAUUAAUUUUCUGUUUUUUUUUUCAAUGGAAUUAUGCAAUCUGUUUACGUUGCAUUGCAGUUUUAAAACUGGAGGAAAAUACGAAUCCUACGUCCGGUAUUAACGACAUUCAGGGUCACUCUGUAAAUAACUGCAAUAAUUGCUGCACGCUGUCGUGCUCGAAUCAUGCUUCUUACUCUUGGUCAUGGUUUUAGAGGACGUUAUGUGAUAAAGGAUGAUGAAGCAUUAUCCCCAAUCUCGUCCAUUUAAAUAAAUAGAAUAAAUGAGUUUAUGGAUUAUGGUGAAUUAAAUAAAUGAAUUGUAGUGGGUUGAAAAUAAAAAAUGAGCGGUGAAUCUGGUGAUCGGUUCGGAAGCGAUUUUCAGUGAUCCGUUGCCGGUACACGCGCCGGUAAUCGUCGGCUUCCUGCGAGCAGGCCAACCACUAAUUUAAACAUGCGUAGGACUCGGUGUAUUCGUGUACGUGUGCCUACGCGAGUGGAGAACGUUGCACCUGGAAGAAACGAGACGAGGUACAAACUGCUUGCGUUCGACCCUAGACAUUCUCUUCUGUACGCAUUUCUUCUACAGCCUCGACAACGGUAACGAAUAAUUAAGGGGCAAAAUUCUAAAAUUAUUCUAAAAUUAUUUAACCAUUUCAUUGGAUACGUGGAUGCUAACGUUGCCGUACUUAAUGGCUUCUUCUGACUCGGAGUCAUCAUACGCGUAUACGGACAGUGACCAUUGAAUCAUUCAAUUAUUCCCGACUAUAUUAGGUAUGCCUAUCGCGGCGCGCUGGGAAGCGUUAGAUUUUUAAAAGUGGGAUUCCUAAUGCCAUGCAUCGGGAAGCUAUUCCGGAUAAUCGAUCGUACCGUUACGGGACGUCAUUAUUAAAUAAUGAUUCGAUUCACUCCGUUAUCGAAAAUAGAGAGCGGGAGAACGACUCAAUUAAACC